Lynx canadensis (Canada lynx) is the source of this 109-nucleotide small nuclear RNA. The record is from Ensembl. NCBI's taxonomy places the organism in Eukaryota, Metazoa, Chordata, Mammalia, Carnivora, Felidae.
GCGUUCUCUGUGGCAGCCCGUAUCCUAAAAUUGGAAUGAUACAGAGAAGAUUAGCACGGCCCCUGCACAAGGAUGCACAUAGAUGGCAAAAGGAACGUUGUAGACGUAA